CGAACGGGUGAGUAACACGUGAGUAACCUGCCCCAGACUCUGGGAUAACCCCGGGAAACCGGAGCUAAUACCGGAUACGACACGGAGAGGCAUCUCUAUCGUGUGGAAAGUUUUUCGGUCUGGGAUGGACUCGCGGCCUAUCAGCUUGUUGGUGAGGUAACGGCUCACCAAGGCGACGACGGGUAGCCGGCCUGAGAGGGCGAUCGGCCACACUGGGACUGAGACACGGCCCAG
Molecule: ribosomal RNA, 234 nt
Filed under: uncultured bacterium
Lineage: Bacteria
Description: partial 16S ribosomal RNA
Rfam family: Bacterial small subunit ribosomal RNA
Source: RNAcentral